ACUACCCGGCCUUGACAUUGAUAGAAUCCUGCAGAGAUGCAGGAGUGCCCUUUGGGGAGCUUGAAAACAGGUGCUGCACGGCUGUCGUCAGCUCGUGUCGUGAGAUGUUGGGUUAAGUCCCGCAACGAGCGCAACCCUCGUCCUUAGUUGCCAGCAGGUUAAGCUGGGCACUCUAGGGAGACUGCCUUCGCAAGGAGGAGGAAGGUGAGGACGACGUCAAGUCAUCAUGGCCCUUAUGGCCAGGGCUACACACGUGCUACAAUGGGGCGUACAGAGUGUUGCAAUACCGCGAGGUGGAGCCAAUCACUUAAAGCGUCUCUCAGUUCGGAUUGUUCUCUGCAACUCGAGAACAUGAAGCUGGAAUCACUAGUAAUCGUAGAUCA
RNAcentral lists this ribosomal RNA (383 nucleotides) under uncultured bacterium. RNAcentral's name for it is "bacterial SSU rRNA". It matches the Rfam family "Bacterial small subunit ribosomal RNA", at positions 966 to 1351 of the family's 1533-position model. The record is from RNAcentral.